Molecule: ribosomal RNA, 387 nt
Filed under: Triticum aestivum (bread wheat)
Lineage: Eukaryota; Viridiplantae; Streptophyta; Magnoliopsida; Poales; Poaceae
Description: partial small subunit ribosomal RNA
Source: RNAcentral
AUGCCCCUGGACUUCACCAAGCACUUCAUCGCGGUGCCGACGGAGUUCAAGCUCAGGAACAACACCGACUGCUCCUGGAAGGUGACGGUCAAGCUGAUGAACGGCAGGGUGACCCUGGAUCAGGGUUGGGCCACCUACGCAACCGUUCAUCAGAUCAAGAUCGGCUACAUGGUGACGUUCAAGCUCCUCACUCCCGACACCCUCAAGGUCAUCAUCUUCGACGACGAUGGCAUUGAGGUCGUCAACAAGUGCGGGAAGCACGACGAAGCCUUCGCCGCCAAAGAGUUGGGCCGGGCCACCUCUUUCGAGCGUACUGUCGAGUCUGCUUUGAACAUGUUUAUGGUUUAUGCGUUGAACUGUUAUAUCUGUGGUACUGCUUAUAUCUGA